CCUACGGGAGGCAGCAGUGAGGAAUAUUGGUCAAUGGACGAGAGUCUGAACCAGCCAAGUAGCGUGAAGGAUGACUGCCCUAUGGGUUGUAAACUUCUUUUAUAUGGGAAUAAAAUGUUCCACGUGUGGGAUUUUGUAUGUACCAUAUGAAUAAGGAUCGGCUAACUCCGUGCCAGCAGCCGCGGUAAUACGGAGGAUCCGAGUGUUAUCCGGAUUUAUUGGGUUUAAAGGGAGCGUAGGUGGAUUGUUAAGUCAGUUGUGAAAGUUUGCGGCUCAACCGCAAAAUUGCAGUUGAAACUGGCAGUCUUGAGUACAGUAGAGGUGGGCGGAAUUCGUGGUGUAGCGGUGAAAUGCUUAGAUAUCACGAAGAACUCCGAUUGCGAAGGCAGUUCACUGGACUGCAACUGACACUGAGGCUCGAAAGUGUGGGUAUCAAACAGGAUUAGAUACCCGAGUAGUC
RNAcentral lists this ribosomal RNA (460 nucleotides) under uncultured bacterium. Its description in RNAcentral is "partial 16S ribosomal RNA". It matches the Rfam family "Bacterial small subunit ribosomal RNA", at positions 338 to 795 of the family's 1533-position model. The record is from RNAcentral.